This 501-nucleotide ribosomal RNA is filed under the name uncultured bacterium. Its description in RNAcentral is "partial 16S ribosomal RNA". It matches the Rfam family "Bacterial small subunit ribosomal RNA", at positions 30 to 523 of the family's 1533-position model. The record is from RNAcentral.
AUUGAACGCUGGCGGCAGGCUUAACACAUGCAAGUCGAGCGGGGGAAGGUAGCUUGCUACCGGACCUAGCGGCGGACGGGUGAGUAAUGCUUAGGAAUCUGCCUAUUAGUGGGGGACAACAUCUCGAAAGGGAUGCUAAUACCGCAUACGUCCUACGGGAGAAAGCAGGGGAUCUUCGGACCUUGCGCUAAUAGAUGAGCCUAAGGCGGAUUAGCUAGUUGGUGGGGUAAAGGCCUACCAAGGCGACGAGCUGUAGCGGGUCUGAGAGGAUGAGCCGCCACACUGAGACUGCGUCACGGCCCAGCCUCCUACGGGAGGCAGCAGUGGGGAAUAUUGUACAAUGGGGGGAACCCUGAUCCAGCCAUGCCGCGUGUGUGAAGAAGGCCUUAUGGUUGUAAAGCACUUUAAGCGAGGAGGAGGCUACUUUAGUUAAUACCUAGAGAUAGUGGACGUUACUCGCAGAAUAAGCACCGGCUAACUCUGUGCCAGCCGCCGCCGUAA